Trichomycterus rosablanca is the source of this 478-nucleotide long non-coding RNA. RefSeq lists it as uncharacterized. The transcript is spliced from 2 exons. Lineage: Eukaryota; Metazoa; Chordata; Actinopteri; Siluriformes; Trichomycteridae. The record is from RefSeq and is a predicted model, not a curated record.
AAGACCGCAUGAGGUGCCGUACGGUGCCGGUGUUACGGAGAAUUCAGUUCCCCCUGUUUCCCCUUUAACGCGCAUGUGCAAAAAUCACGACGUUUUUUUCAGUCGCUUCGUUGAGCGUCGGUUUAUUUGGAAUAUGUAUUUAUAGCGGACUGUAUGAUCAUUGAGAUUGCCUGUGAUGGAUGUGACAGAUGGUACCACCAGUCAUGUGUUGCAACCCACCAGUAGAGGAAGUGUAUUUUAUGUCUGGCAAACCGUCCAAUGCCUCCCACAACACGUCUUGAGCUGGAAGUUGCCCUGGAGCGAGAGUGGCAGAGGAUCCCACAAGAACUGCUGGACAAUCUGGUUCACCCCCACCAAUAUGUCACUUGCUACUCAAUCACGAUAAUUGAGUUUGCAUCUCAAUUGCAUAAUCAAACAACUUUCUUUGACUUGUCGUUUGCUUUGUUGAUGUUCUUGUUUAAUAAAAAAAAUGAUGAUU